RNAcentral lists this ribosomal RNA (253 nucleotides) under uncultured bacterium. RNAcentral describes it as "partial 16S ribosomal RNA". It matches the Rfam family "Bacterial small subunit ribosomal RNA", at positions 524 to 776 of the family's 1533-position model. The record is from RNAcentral.
UACGAAGGGGGCUAGCGUUGUUCGGAAUUACUGGGCGUAAAGCGCGCGUAGGCGGUUCGCCAAGUCGGGCGUGAAAGCCCCGGGCUCAACCCGGGAAUUGCGUUCGAUACUUGCGGACUUGAGGUCGGGAGAGGGUAGUGGAAUUCCAAGUGUAGAGGUGAAAUUCGUAGAGAUUGGGAAGAACACCAGUGGCGAAGGCGGCUACCUGGCCCGAAUCUGACGCUGAGGCGAGAAAGCGUGGGGAGCAAACAGG